GUAUAUUUGACUACAUCAUGCUUCUCUACAGGGAGUCCCCCCGGCCCCCUUUAAAGCUUGGCUCAAAUACCAGUGUUGAAAACCUUCCUGCGGUCAAAUGAGUGCUUUUGGCGUUUGAGGAAUGUAUUAACGCUUCCAGCUGUGCAGCCAGAGGUGAUACUCGACGGAGAGAGGAUCAUUCGUUUGAGUGUGAGGCAGACAAAGGGGUCAUGAGUGCUGAGAGGUGAAUGUGAGAAACCGCUGUAUCACACUCGAGGCCUACCUUGCAUGGUUUUCUGGAGACUUAACCGUCACGUGUCUCAGCUGGGAAAUCGGGGAGUCUGUCAAUGUCAACACAGGAGAUGGUGUGACUCUUCCAUUCUGUGCACUCGCAGGCAUCAGGACAGGAGUCAGCCUGGGACCAAGUGCUCAUAUGGAGGACAAACAAAGUGCAUAAUAUCACUUGCAUUUUGGAGUGCCACUCUGUGGAAGUCUCUGGUGGUCCUCUUGGUGAUCUGUGUGCAGAAUAGCAUAUGAAUUGUUGCUCAAAUCCUUUCAAAGAGUACUUGUUUUCUUCCCAGUUUCCCAAGAGAUUCUUGUCUGUGAGGCUGAGACGUCGGGAUGCUGGAGGACGGGCAGCCAGAGCUCUUUAGUGGACUUUUUUUUUUUUUGGAGGUGGUCUUCGACUUGAGGGUGGACUUAUGAGGCACUCUUGUGUUAGAUUGGAGAAUAACUCCCAGCCCAAUUCUUAUCUUGUUCUCUUCAGUUCUUAUGGGUGUUAUGCAUGGUAUGGUAAGUUUUGUUACAAGUUACAUUAAGGAGCAUCAUGUUUGCACCAUGCAACAUGCUCAUUUAAUCAUAUAUAGACAGUAUUACUAAUAAUUAAUACACCAUUUUUUUUACAUGUUGACAGGUUUCUCGUUUGUUUGCUUCCUGUUUAAGUGUCAACAUUUACUAAUUUAAAAAAAUGCAAAAAGCAAGAGAUAGAUAUUACAAAGUGAUGAAAAAAGAAAUGUAGGAAAAGGUGUGGGAACAAAAUAAAUUGAGCAAAUAUUGGUAAAAAACAAUCUGUGUUGGAAUCUCUAGUUGCUCUAAACUAUGACAGGAAGUAGUUAGUUGGGGUUCCCCAGGGGUCAAUCCGGGGAACCCCUGUUGUUCAAUCUGUACAUCCUUCCGUCGGACAGACGAAGGUGAACACGAUCCUUCAGAUUUACUUUGUCACUACGUCAAACAGAUCAGUGUGUGGAUGCAAAUAUUUUUUCUGCAGGUCUUCUGCAGAUUCCCGCAGUCAGGACCAAACAAGGUGAGGCCGCAUUUCAGUUUCAUCAGGCUGAAAACACUUUAUAUUAUAUUUUAUAUCAUAUUCAAAUGUGCGUAUGACAACUGAAAGUAUUUAAUUCAUUAUUACUUUUCUAAUCUACUUUUUGGGGUUUUAAAUUAUUUUUUUGCCUUCUUUUCUGUAAAGUACUUUGAAUUAUCUUGUGUAUGAAUAAAUCUUGUGCUCAAUAAAUAAAUGUGACUUGCCUUGCUGAAAAAAAUGACAAAAA
Non-coding RNA from Doryrhamphus excisus (bluestripe pipefish), 1526 nucleotides. NCBI's taxonomy places the organism in Eukaryota, Metazoa, Chordata, Actinopteri, Syngnathiformes, Syngnathidae. The record is from RefSeq and is a predicted model, not a curated record.